Molecule: ribosomal RNA, 989 nt
Filed under: human gut metagenome
Description: bacterial LSU rRNA
Rfam family: Bacterial large subunit ribosomal RNA
Source: RNAcentral
AUAACGGUCCUAAGGUAGCGAAAUUCCUUGUCGGGUAAGUUCCGACCCGCACGAAUGGUGUAACGAUCUGGGCACUGUCUCAACUACCCACCCGGCGAAAUUGUAGUACCGGUGAAGAUGCCGGUUACCUGCGGCAAGACGGAAAGACCCCGUGAACCUUUACUAUAGCUUGACACUGAACAUUGAGCCUUGAUGUGUAGGAUAGGUGGGAGGCUUUGAAGUGUGGACGCCAGUCUGCAUGGAGCCGACCUUGAAAUACCACCCUUUAAUGUUUGAUGUUCUAACGUUGGCCCGUAAUCCGGGUUGCGGACAGUGUCUGGUGGGUAGUUUGACUGGGGCGGUCUCCUCCUAAAGAGUAACGGAGGAGCACGAAGGUUGGCUAAUCCUGGUCGGACAUCAGGAGGUUAGUGCAAUGGCAUAAGCCAGCUUGACUGCGAGCGUGACGGCGCGAGCAGGUGCGAAAGCAGGUCAUAGUGAUCCGGUGGUUCUGAAUGGAAGGGCCAUCGCUCAACGGAUAAAAGGUACUCUGGGGAUAACAGGCUGAUACCGCCCAAGAGUUCAUAUCGACGGCGGUGUUUGGCACCUCGAUGUCGGCUCAUCGCAUCCUGGGGCUGUAGUCGGUCCCAAGGGUAUGGCUGUUCGCCAUUUAAAGUGGUACGCGAGCUGGGUUUAGAACGUCGUGAGACAGUUCGGUCCCUAUCUGCCGUGGGCGUUGGAAGAUUGACGGGGGCUGCUCCUAGUACGAGAGGACCGGAGUGGACGCAUCACUGGUGUUCGGGUUGUCAUGCCAAUGGCACUGCCCGGUAGCUAAAUGCGGAAGAGAUAAGUGCUGAAAGCAUCUAAGCACGAAACUUGCCCCGAGAUGAGUUCUCCCUGACUCCUUGAGGGUCCUGAAGGAACGUUGAAGACGACGACGUUGAUAGGCCGGGUGUGUAAGCGCAGCGAUGCGUUGAGCUAACCGGUACUAAUGAACCGUGAGGCUUAACCUU